CAAAAGGGAAACAGCCCAAAACAAAAAUUAAGGUUCCAAAAUUAUUAGUUAAGUGAAAUUAAGAAAGUUUUUAUUAAAGUCGACAAGGAGAUAGGCUUAGAAGCAGCCACAAUUUUAUGACCUCGUAACAGAGCGCUUGUUAAGCUAUAAAAGCAUCGAAAAUUUAACGGAUCUAAACAAUAUACCGAAACCUUGUCCAUAUAAGAUAAAAUUUUAUUUUAAUUAUAUGGGGUAGCAGAACGUUGAAUUAUGUUAAGACUUUUAUUUUUUAAAUAAAAGUAACUAUUUUUAUAUAAUAAAUUCUAGCCUAAUUUUAAUAUUACUAGAAUUCUCAUUUAUAAAAAUGAAAAGUCAAAUUCAAGUGAGAAUGGUGACAUGAGUAACUAAAAGAAAAAUUUAAUUUUUCCGCCUAAAGCUUAUGGAUGACAUUAAGUAACGGCCUCUAAGUUUAUAAUUAUCUAAAGGUUUAAACGAUGAGAAAUCUUCAUUACUAAGGACGACAUUUUUGUGAAAAAUGUACUGGAAAAAUAGUAAUAUUCUUAUAGAUUAAUAAUCUAUAGGAAAAAUAACCGUACCUAGAUUCUGAAACAAGUAAGCUAGUAGAGAAUACGAAGGCGUAAAUGAGCUAACAAUCAUAAAGGAACUCGGCAAAUUAACUACCGUAACUUCGGAAUAAGGAGGGCUCAUUAUUCUUGAUUAAUAUCAAGUAAAAAGGAAGAAGCAUGAAAUAGUGUUGUACGACUGUUUAAUUAAAACACAGCACUUUGCUGAAAGAUUAAAAAUCUAAGUAUAAAGUGUGAGAUCUGCCCAGUGCCGGCUGGUUAACAGAGACAACUAGGUAUACUAUUAUCUAAUGUCGACGGAAACCCCGGUUAAAGGCGGCCUUAACGUGAGGGUCCUAAGGUAGCUAAAUGCCUUGGCCGUUAAAUGCGGUCUUGCAUGAAUGGUGUAACGAUACAACAGCUGUCUCUAUGAUUGACUCAGUGAAAUUGGAAUAGCUGUGCAGAUACAGCUUACCUCUAGUUAGACGAGAAGACCCUAUGCAGCUUUACUGUCACUAAUUAUAGAUUAUGUUAAGGAAUUUUCAGAUUAUAAGGUAAUCGAUUUUAGAUUAAAAUGAGAAACCUUUAUUUUUAUUUCAUUUGAAUGAAUGAAUUUAAGAUUAUAAUUUCAAUUAUUGCAAAUAAUGAGGCUAUUUAGCACGUUAUUUGUAAGAUAUUAUAAUAAUAAAUUAACCUAAUUCAGCUUAUUUUUUUUAUAAUAUAAAUAAAUAAGUUCCCUUUGGUGAGGAAAUAUCGUUAGGAGACAGUUUAUGUGGGGCACAGACCCUGUAAAGAGUAAACAGGAGUGUCUAAUAUUAUUUUUAUUUUUAGUUUGUCAUUUUUAAUAGUUAUUUAUAAUAAUUAUUAUUGAUCAUAUUUAUUUAGAUAUAUUUAUAAAUUUUUAUAGAUAUAUUUAAAAUAAGGUAGGAUUUUUACUACAUAGAAAGUAGAGAUAUUAAAAGUUUUACGGAAAUUUUCCUAAAAUUUUUUAGAUUAUUUAAAAAUAAUCCAUGUUAAUAUCUAAAAAGCUCAACGGCUAAAUCCUGCCUUACUGUUUGAUUAUCUACAAAUCUUACAGUUGCGUAAGCAGGGCAUAGGAUCACAAGAUACAAUAAGGAAAGAUCUUGGAUUUUUGGAAAAGCUACGCUAGGGAAACAGGCUAAUUUGCGCAAGAGUGUACAAAAUGAGUGCGCGGUUUGGCACCUCGAUGUCGGCUUAACUUAUCCUCAUGGAUGCAGAAACUAUGUAGGGUGCGACUGUUCGUCGAUUAAAAAGUUACAUGAGCUGGGUUAAAUACGUCGUGAGACAGUAUGGUUUCUAUCUUCUAGAGGGAAUUAGAAUAUAAUAAGAAUGAACUUUUGUACGAAAGGAACAAGAAUGAUUUAGUUUAAUUUUGGUUAAUUCUGAAAUUAGAUAAAAUAAUUGUUACUAACCUAUGGUUUACCUGUUGUUUAUAUGUCCCGGAUAUUAAAAUUAUUUCCUAUUACAAUAGGAAGGGAAUGUUUCUUUCACUAAGAUAAAUAAAUAGUAUAGGCAUGGCAGGGACGCUAAGUUAGUUAAAGGUAAGUGCUGAAAGCAUAUAGGCACGAGACUUAUCUUAAGAUAUUUCUUAAAUAUACGUAUUAUAUUAAUACGAAUUAAUUAUAGGUUUUAUUGGUAAGAAUUUUGAAAUUUUUAAGAACAAAAUACUAAUUUUAUAAAUUACUAUUUAUACAUAUAUC
RNAcentral lists this ribosomal RNA (2263 nucleotides) under Sarocladium implicatum. RNAcentral's name for it is "LSU rRNA". It matches the Rfam family "Bacterial large subunit ribosomal RNA", at positions 1012 to 2925 of the family's 2925-position model. Lineage: Eukaryota; Fungi; Ascomycota; Sordariomycetes; Hypocreales; Sarocladiaceae. The record is from RNAcentral.